AUGGCCGACGCGGGUCGAAGUGUAGUAUCUGUUCUUAUCAGCUUGUCAAAUACAACCUGAUACAGGUUGCAUGUAGACCCAAGAUAUAAAACUUAUUUUUGCAAGUUGGCGGAGUGCUUGAAGCCUGCUUCCCCUCCACCGCGGGUCGGCCAGGUAUUGCGCUAUCUUCGGGAUCAGCCCUCGUUCU
Small nuclear RNA from Dermacentor silvarum, 187 nucleotides. RefSeq annotates it as U2 spliceosomal RNA. The transcript has a single exon. The record is from RefSeq and is a predicted model, not a curated record. NCBI's taxonomy places the organism in Eukaryota, Metazoa, Arthropoda, Arachnida, Ixodida, Ixodidae.